AUACACAGCCAUUAUCACCAAAUAUCCGAUCAUAAAUCGCUCAUUCUGGCUUUCAUUCUGAAUGUGAACCUCCUAAUCUCCGGCACUGUGCUGCUAGCUUGUCGCGACUGCCAACGCCAGGGUGCGAAAACAAACGGGACUCCCCUUUUGUCUCAAAGUAGUCUAUGAGCAACAAUGUCAGGGCGUUUCCCGGUCCUACCUGUACCGGCUUACCUCCCCACUUGUGGUUUUGACACCAUGAGACAACACGGUGGCCUCUAACGCAGCGUAAACGACUGGCUGCUGCGGCAGGUGCUGGACCGGAGACGUCAUGACGCCGGGAUACCGAAGAAGGAGCAUCGUAAAAGUGCAGGAGGCUUUGAGAGACAAAUGAAAGGAAAACGAACAAAGCGAACAACAGAGAGCAUGGUGUCCCCAGAGCAGGGGUUCAUGGAUCAGCAGGGUUCACUGCAGAGCAAAAGAGAGUAGAAAACUGAGGAAAAGCUGCAGAAACAAGCAUCAGAGGGGCCCAUUGAUCCACACAGCAUGCUGACAUGUAGUGCUUUAGAAUUCAGUGAAGGUUAUGUGAAUAGGAGAAAAUGGAACUGAGCCCAUCAGCCCUGAUUUAAGAAAAGGACCACCCGACCAUUAAAUUUAUAUGGAUGAAAAAGAUAAAUACAAUUCUAAUUCAAUGCUUUCCAGCCAUAUAAUUAGAUUGAUAUAGUAAUAUCACCAAAUAAUAAAGAUUUUCCAUUUUACUAACCAAUAUUUACUUUUUUCUACUGUUACUCCACCACCUGAGCUGCUGCUGUUCACUGUGGACAAAAAGCCAGCUGUGUAGCUGUGAAGCCAGCCUCUGCUUCUGCCUUGCAACACUUGACUUGGAUCAGGCUAAUAUUAAAGACAGUGAAAACAUAUGUAUGCUUUAUUGUGGAAACUAGAUACAGAGCAUACUGCUGUUUAUCCAAGAAUGGGCAGCCUCAAAACAACACACCAUGGUAGAGAGAACACCAAAGAGUCAAAUGAGCACAAGCUGGAGUCAGCAGGGAGGGUGCGGUACUCUUCCCAUGUGAGUACAUCAACAGCUGACUCAAAGGACUCUGACUUGAAGACAUAGGGAAUGUUAGUUGUCUUUGGCCUGCUACGUUUGAGCCUGACUGCUGCAUUUUUCUUUGAUAAGUUUGCCGUGAAGGCAGCACUGAUGGAGACAGGCCCUGCCUUGGACCCCAUUCUUUACUCCUCUCCUGUGCUACUCUUAAGUUGAACAGUUUGAAGUCCUUCAUUUUAGUUUGAGUUUUAUCAGCCUCCUGGUAUUUUAUGUUUGACUUUCUUAGCAAAGCCCAAUUUAUCUCUAGUAACCCAAUACGAGCUGUACUUUUAUCCUUCAUCUUGUGUAUUAAAGUCCUGCUCUUAACC
This is a long non-coding RNA of Monopterus albus (swamp eel), 1395 nucleotides long. RefSeq lists it as uncharacterized. Lineage: Eukaryota; Metazoa; Chordata; Actinopteri; Synbranchiformes; Synbranchidae. The transcript is spliced from 4 exons. The record is from RefSeq and is a predicted model, not a curated record.